CCACGCCCCGGUGAAUAUGUUCCUGAGCCUUGUACACACCGCCCGUCAAGCCACGAAAGCCGGGAGUACCCGAAGUCCCCCUCAAAAGGGCCCACGGUAAACCGGUGAUUGGGACU
This 116-nucleotide ribosomal RNA is filed under the name uncultured bacterium. Its description in RNAcentral is "partial 16S ribosomal RNA". It matches the Rfam family "Bacterial small subunit ribosomal RNA", at positions 1352 to 1482 of the family's 1533-position model. The record is from RNAcentral.